This 400-nucleotide ribosomal RNA is filed under the name uncultured Enterococcus sp. RNAcentral describes it as "bacterial SSU rRNA". It matches the Rfam family "Bacterial small subunit ribosomal RNA", at positions 958 to 1359 of the family's 1533-position model. The record is from RNAcentral. Lineage: Bacteria; Bacillati; Bacillota; Bacilli; Lactobacillales; Enterococcaceae.
AACGCGAAGAACCUUACCAGGUCUUGACAUCCUUUGACCACUCUAGAGAUAGAGCUUCCCCUUCGGGGGCAAAGUGACAGGUGGUGCAUGGUUGUCGUCAGCUCGUGUCGUGAGAUGUUGGGUUAAGUCCCGCAACGGGCGCAACCCUUAUUGUUAGUUGCCAUCAUUUAGUUGGGCACUCUAGCGAGACUGCCGGUGACAAACCGGAGGAAGGUGGGGAUGACGUCAAAUCAUCAUGCCCCUUAUGACCUGGGCUACACACGUGCUACAAUGGGAAGUACAACGAGUUGCGAAGUCGCGAGGCUAAGCUAAUCUCUUAAAGCUUCUCUCAGUUCGGAUUGUAGGCUGCAACUCGCCUACAUGAAGCCGGAAUUGCUAGUAAUCGCGGAUCAGCACGCCC